RNAcentral lists this ribosomal RNA (35 nucleotides) under Quercus coccifera. RNAcentral describes it as "partial 25S ribosomal RNA". Lineage: Eukaryota; Viridiplantae; Streptophyta; Magnoliopsida; Fagales; Fagaceae. The record is from RNAcentral.
UCGACCCCAGGUCAGGCGGGACUACCCGCUGAGUU